This 318-nucleotide long non-coding RNA is filed under the name Dromaius novaehollandiae (emu). Its description in RNAcentral is "lncRNA (ENSDNVG00000011133.1)". Lineage: Eukaryota; Metazoa; Chordata; Aves; Casuariiformes; Dromaiidae. The record is from RNAcentral.
UAUGCACGCAGGAAGGACCCACAUUUCUGGAUUUUUUAAAGGAUGAAAGUAAAAGUUUCAUCUAGAGUUAGAUGCAACAGAAUAAGAUUGUAUACCUGUUUUACUGAUAUAUGAGAGAGACUUGAAGAAGGUGACCACUGCAGAGAUUGAAUCAGCAUCCUCAGCAACUUUGAAAGUCUUGUCCUAUUUAAACAGGAGUAUGCAAAUCUCCAAAGGUUUGGUGGUUGCUUUGGUUAAGUGUUCAGAAGGUCUAAGGCUAAUUCUAGUCACAUAGACUUCUGUGAACCUCUUCAGUCAAGACAUCAGUCCAGGGACCUU